CUAUUUCUAAAUUCAAAAUAAAAAUUUAAUUCCGGUGAAAAAUACUUAUUUACAUGGUCACUUAACGAGUAUUUUCUUCUUAUUUUUAUUUUUUUGGGUAAAAAUGACGAUGACGGUAUUUAUAGCGGACUGUCGUCUGUUGUUGUUCUUACGUACGCAUUGCACGUUGACUGUCAGUGACUGCAUCUUCUUUAAAAUAAAUUUAACAAGAAGAGAAAAAAAAACUCAUUCAUUGGUCGACAAGUGUGUCUAUGGUUCAUUUACAUUUGGUGAUAAAUUGUGAAAAUACUGAAAAAAAAGAUUACACGUUCGAGAUUAUCUAUUUACAUUGAGAUUUUCAUAUUUAUUAAGAACACUCUUUUUGUUAAUAAUAUAUUUUCUUUUUAUAUAUUUUUGUAGGAAAACUUUGCAUUUAAGUUCAAAGUUGUUUAUUCUCUUCAUCCUGAUGAAAAUGUUGUGUGUUUUUAGAAAAUUUAAAUAUUUACACGUAAAUAAAUAAAUUGUUACGGCAAAUUGAAAAUAAUUAAUACGAUUUACGCCAAUGAUUGAUUAGUUGUGAUCACAGAUACAAUUGUACAAGUAGAAAACAUUGUUGCUGCUGUUUGCUCGUACUGUUGCUGAUUUAUGGAACGAGUGCAAGAGUUCUAAAAGUCUUGCGAUUGAAUGAGAGUGUGUCUGAGGUGCAUAAAUAUGUGUUGCAGGAAUGGAAACUUAAAAUUUUCAAUAACUACAAGAUUUGGAGUUCAAUGUACUUAGAAAACAACAAAACCAUUAAAAUAAAAACAAG
Molecule: long non-coding RNA, 787 nt
Organism: Lucilia cuprina (Australian sheep blowfly)
Lineage: Eukaryota; Metazoa; Arthropoda; Insecta; Diptera; Calliphoridae
Exons: 3
Source: RefSeq, a predicted model, not a curated record